AAUAAGGGCUUCUGUUGUGAGUGGUACACGUAGGGCGGCUCUGCUUGCUCUUCAUGCGGGAUCGACAUCAAGAGAUUUUGGAAACAAUUUAUUGACUUCUGGGCAGUUGGUGAUCAUUGGUCCUAAAUUUUUU
Small nuclear RNA from Ochotona curzoniae (black-lipped pika), 133 nucleotides. RefSeq annotates it as U11 spliceosomal RNA. The transcript has a single exon. Lineage: Eukaryota; Metazoa; Chordata; Mammalia; Lagomorpha; Ochotonidae. The record is from RefSeq and is a predicted model, not a curated record.